CUUUGAUCCACCAGUAAUCACUUCCCAGAUGGGGUUCCAUUGAUUUUGCCCACUGAGCACUGAUUUUAAUUUCUCCCCACAAUUACUGUGAACGUUAUAAACUGCACAUUCUUAUUUAUAUGUAAGAAGUAAACGAUGCCAUAUGAUGCUAAUCUAAUUACAUCUCACUUCUUAUUGCAGACACAGGAUCUAGUGACAGGCACCACGGGGAAGUAAUUCUCCUUUAUGUUAAAAAAAACCCAAACCUUUUCAUUUGAUGAUUAUAUCAUCCACGGCCUGGGAUGUGAUCCCUGAAUGUCAGGAAUGAAAGAAUAGUAGAGAAGUCCAGCAAGGAAAAUGGAGGUUGCCUCAUCUUGCUCAUACUAUAGGAUAUCAGAUAUCAAAAAGAGCAUGUUCUCUUACUGGAUGUGUGUCAGUUUGUAUCUUUCAUUGUGUGUAUAUGUAUGUAUAUCUGCAUGUGUGUGUGUGUAUGUGUGAGGCAUUGUAUAUGUAUAUGUGCAUACAUCUCAGAACUCAAACGUCAACACUACAUACAAACAGGCCACUCUAUUCAAAGACAAACACUACACACAAGUAAACCACUGCUUUCAAAUGGCAACAGUACAUAAAAACAUACAACACUACAUACAAAUACACCCCUAAAUUCACACACACAUACUCCCUGCAAAAAUAUGCUUACAUUCAAACACACAAACACUGCUGAGUGGUAAAUACAACCUUGGCCAUCCUUAUGAUUGGGGAGGAGAAGGAGGUGGG
Pelobates cultripes (western spadefoot toad) is the source of this 756-nucleotide non-coding RNA. NCBI's taxonomy places the organism in Eukaryota, Metazoa, Chordata, Amphibia, Anura, Pelobatidae. The record is from the annotation of a GenBank genome assembly.